CCUACGGGAGGCAGCAGUGAGGAAUAUUGGUCAAUGGACGCGAGUCUGAACCAGUCAAGUAGCGUGCAGGAUGACUGCCCUAUGGGUUGUAAACUUCUUUUAUAUGAGGAUAAACUGUUCCACGUGUGGGCUUUUGUAUGUACCAUAUGAAUAAGGAUCGGCUAACUCCGUGCCAGCAGCCGCGGUAAUACGGAGGAUCCGAGCGUUAUCCGGAUUUAUUGGGUUUAAAGGGUGCGUAGGUGGUUGGUUAAGUCAGUGGUGAAAUUUUGCGGCUCAACCGUGAAAUUGCCGUUGAAACUGGCAGGCUUGAGAGUAGUAGAGGUGGGCGGAAUGCGUGGUGUAGCGGUGAAAUGCUUAGAUAGCAUGAAGAACGCCGAUUGCGAAGGCAGCUUACUGGACUGCAACUGACACUGAGGCUCGAAAGUGUGGGUAGCAAACAGGAUUAGAUACCCUUGUAGUC
This 460-nucleotide ribosomal RNA is filed under the name uncultured bacterium. Its description in RNAcentral is "partial 16S ribosomal RNA". It matches the Rfam family "Bacterial small subunit ribosomal RNA", at positions 338 to 795 of the family's 1533-position model. The record is from RNAcentral.